RNAcentral lists this ribosomal RNA (497 nucleotides) under uncultured bacterium. RNAcentral's name for it is "partial 16S ribosomal RNA". It matches the Rfam family "Bacterial small subunit ribosomal RNA", at positions 28 to 507 of the family's 1533-position model. The record is from RNAcentral.
GAUGAACGCUGGCGGCGUGCCUAAUACAUGCAAGUCGAGCGAACGGACGAGAAGCUUGCUUCUCUGAUGUUAGCGGCGGACGGGUGAGUAACACGUGGAUAACCUACCUAUAAGACUGGGAUAACUUCGGGAAACCGUAGCUAAUACCGGAUAAUAUUUUGAACCUCAUGGUUCAAAAGUUAAAGACGGUCUUGCUGUCACUUAUAGAUGGAUCCGCGCUGCAUUAGCUAGUUGGUAAGGUAACGGCUUACCAAGGCAACGAUGCAUAGCCGACCUGAGCGGGUGAUCCGCCACACUGGAACUGAGACACGUCCCAGACUCCUACGGGAGGACGCAGUAGGGAAUCUUCCGCAAUGGGCGAAAGCGUGACGGAGCAAAGCCGCGUGAGUGAUGAAGGUCUUCGGAUCGUAGAACUCUGUUAGUAGGGAAGAACAAAUGUGUAAGUACCUGUGCACAUCUUGACGGUACCUAAUCAGAAAGCCACGGCUAACUACGUG